The sequence is a ribosomal RNA, 547 nucleotides long. It matches the Rfam family "Bacterial small subunit ribosomal RNA", at positions 582 to 1126 of the family's 1533-position model.
GUCGCGUCUGUCGUGAAAGUCCGGGGCUUAACCCCGGAUCUGCGGUGGGUACGGGCAGACUAGAGUGCAGUAGGGGAGACUGGAAUUCCUGGUGUAGCGGUGGAAUGCGCAGAUAUCAGGAGGAACACCGAUGGCGAAGGCAGGUCUCUGGGCUGUAACUGACGCUGAGGAGCGAAAGCAUGGGGAGCGAACAGGAUUAGAUACCCUGGUAGUCCAUGCCGUAAACGUUGGGCACUAGGUGUGGGGACCAUUCCACGGUUUCCGCGCCGCAGCUAACGCAUUAAGUGCCCCGCCUGGGGAGUACGGCCGCAAGGCUAAAACUCAAAGGAAUUGACGGGGGCCCGCACAAGCGGCGGAGCAUGCGGAUUAAUUCGAUGCAACGCGAAGAACCUUACCAAGGCUUGACAUGUUCCCGAUCGCCGUAGAGAUACGGUUUCCCCUUUGGGGCGGGUUCACAGGUGGUGCAUGGUUGUCGUCAGCUCGUGUCGUGAGAUGUUGGGUUAAGUCCCGCAACGAGCGCAACCCUCGUUCCAUGUUGCCAGCACGU